This 227-nucleotide unclassified non-coding RNA is filed under the name uncultured Actinomycetes bacterium. RNAcentral describes it as "uncultured actinobacterium contains 16S-23S intergenic spacer region". The record is from RNAcentral. Lineage: Bacteria; Bacillati; Actinomycetota; Actinomycetes.
UCCGGUUUGUCACCGGCAGUCUCGCAUGAGUCCCCGGCUUUACCCGCUGGCAACAUACGACGAGGGUUGCGCUCGUUGCGGGACUUAACCCAACAUCUCACGACACGAGCUGACGACAGCCAUGCACCACCUGUGCAAGUGCCCCGAAGGGAGACCGGGUUUCCCCGGCUGUCACCUGCAUGUCAAGCCCUGGUAAGGUUCUUCGCGUUGCAUCGAAUUAAGCCACA